Long non-coding RNA from Cebus imitator (Panamanian white-faced capuchin), 1064 nucleotides. RefSeq lists it as uncharacterized. The transcript is spliced from 3 exons. The record is from RefSeq and is a predicted model, not a curated record. NCBI's taxonomy places the organism in Eukaryota, Metazoa, Chordata, Mammalia, Primates, Cebidae.
UCACCUAAACUGGAAGGAACAUUAUGACCUAAAACAAGGUAGAAAGAUCCAUUGUCUCUUGUCCAUUAUCUAUCUCUGGUUAAAAGACUAAUCUGUGUCACUUCAAAAUGGCAGUCUUGAUUCUUCAGCAUAAAAACCACUUAAGAAGGUGCCAAUGCUUUCCUUUGUCCUAAAAGAGUGCAGAGAAUCCCCUGCUGUGUUUCAAAUGUGUGAGAGCUAAAAGUACAAAAUGUACAAAAAUAACGAAGUUGUAUUUUCUUAUUGAGGAUACCCUUCCCAGAAGGAUUAAAACAUUAACAAUUAUAAAAAUCCAAUUAUUUUCACUCUAUAGGUCCUACCUUUUUCAGGUCUACAUAAACUAGUAAGCCCUUAAAAACCUUCAUAGGCACUCAGAUAUCCAAUGAGAGAGACUGCUGGAAAAACAGUCUUGGCAGUUGUACCUCUGUUUCCCUAAAUACUACCUAAAUAUCUUAAUUCCUAUGGGUUUUCACUUCCAGAUUCCACCUAUGCAGGGCUCCAUGGCAGUUUCCAUUAAUCUUCAAAUCUUCAGUCUAUGAAAGCACAGAUUCCUGAAAGGAUGGCCUUAAAUGACCAGGAGUGGGAGCAGUCUGUAUCCCUGCUCCUGAAUAACAACCUAACUGGACUCUCUACUACCUAUCAGCACAGAUACACCUCCAACUACCCAGCUGAACUUCAAGACUGAUUUGACAGCCAAUGAUGCCGCUGACCCAGUCUGCAUGGCUAUGCGAAGGACACCAGUGAAUUGGGAAAAGAGGCAAGAGGUCCAGGUAAAGGCUCUGACAGUUUCUGAAGGACACACUGCUGAGUGUCUCUGUCACCGAGGGCUGGAAUGUAGUCGCGUGAUUAUGGCUUACUGCAAUCUCAACCUCCCGACCUCAAGCAGUCUUCCCAUCUCAACUUCCUGAGUAGCUGAAACUACAGCUGUGUACCAUCAUGCUAGGCUACUUUUUUAUUGUUAUUUUUGUAGAGACAAGGUCUCACUAUAUUGCCCAGGCUGGCCUCAAAUUCCUGGUGUUGUGGGGUUUUUUGUUUGUUUUGUUUUU